This 425-nucleotide ribosomal RNA is filed under the name uncultured bacterium. RNAcentral describes it as "bacterial SSU rRNA". It matches the Rfam family "Bacterial small subunit ribosomal RNA", at positions 354 to 796 of the family's 1533-position model. The record is from RNAcentral.
GUGGGGAAUCUUAGACAAUGGGGGAAACCCUGAUCUAGCCAUGCCGCGUGAUCGAUGAAGGCCUUAGGGUUGUAAAGAUCUUUCAGCUGGGAAGAUAAUGACGGUACCAGCAGAAGAAGCCCCGGCUAACUCCGUGCCAGCAGCCGCGGUAAUACGGAGGGGGCUAGCGUUGUUCGGAAUUACUGGGCGUAAAGCGCACGUAGGCGGAUUGGAAAGUUGGGGGUGAAAUCCCGGGGCUCAACCCCGGAACUGCCUUCAAAACUCCCAGUCUUGAGGUCGAGAGAGGUGAGUGGAAUUCCGAGUGUAGAGGUGAAAUUCGUAGAUAUUCGGAGGAACACCAGUGGCGAAGGCGGCUCACUGGCUCGAUACUGACGCUGAGGUGCGAAAGCGUGGGGAGCAAACAGGAUUAGAUACCCGUGUAGUCC